ACCUCCUUGUAAUAAAAUUAAGAGCUACUCAAAGGAGGUACAGCUCCUUUGACAAAGAACACAACCUCCUCUAGCGGAUAACCACCCCGCCCCCAUCCUUGUAGGCUUUAAAGCAGCCACCAACAAAGAGUGCGUCAAAGCUCAUGACCCAAAGAUCCAAAAACAUACGUGACUCCCUUAUCCACAAUGGGCUAACCUAUCACAAUAGAAGAAUUAAUGCUAAAAUGAGUAACCUGAGAUCCUCCCUCCAAAAGCGUAAACUUACAUUAAUACAUUAUUAACAGACCACUUAUACCCCCACUCCAACAAGAACACGUAUUCUUCCCCCUGUUAAACCCACCCAGGAACGCCUACCGGACGAUUAAAAUCUGUAGAAGGAACUCGGCAAACCCCAGGCCCGACUGUUUACCAAAAACAUAGCCUUCAGCCAACAACAAGUAUUGAAGGUGAUGCCUGCCCAGUGACAUCAAAGUUCAACGGCCGCGGUAUCCUAACCGUGCAAAGGUAGCGCAAUCAAUUGUCCCAUAAAUCGAGACUUGUAUGAACGGCUAAACGAGGUCUCAACUGUCUCCUACAGAUAAUCGGUGAAAUUGAUACUCUCGUGCAAAAGCGAGAAUGUAAACAUAAGACGAGAAGACCCUGUGGAACUUAAAAAUCAGCGACCACCUAAUCAAACACACCCCCACACGGGCCCACCACCCACUAUCAUUAGUGCCUGGUCAACAUUUUUCGGUUGGGGCGACCUUGGAGAAAAAAAAACCCUCCAAACUACCCAGGCCACAACCCUCCACCAAGAGCUACCACUCAAAGUACUAAAAGUCACUAGACCCAAUACAAUUGACCAACGGACCAAGCUACCCCAGGGAUAACAGCGCAAUCCCCUCCAAGAGCCCAUAUCGACAAGGGGGUUUACGACCUCGAUGUUGGAUCAGGACAACCUAAUGGUGCAGCCGCUAUUUAAGGGUUCGUUUGUUCAACGAUUAACAGUCCUACGUGAUCUGAGUUCAGACCGGAGCAAU
Molecule: ribosomal RNA, 1019 nt
Filed under: Chamaepetes goudotii
Lineage: Eukaryota; Metazoa; Chordata; Aves; Galliformes; Cracidae
Description: partial 16S ribosomal RNA
Rfam family: Bacterial large subunit ribosomal RNA
Source: RNAcentral